UUUUGUUGCAGACAAAAAAUGAGAGAGAGGAGAAAUACGAAAGAGGGCUUACAAGUGAAAGAGCAUUGGACGCCUAUCGAAGGCUAUACACUUAACCGGAUAAUGAGGGGGAUCCUUUGAGGGAAUCCUUGCUGAGUACUGCGCGACGGAAUCCUGUUUGGAGGGUAUUUCAAAAAGUGUGUUCAGAGCACCAUUUAAAUACGCACCAAUUGAAGUGGGUUUUGUGUGUAAGAGCUCUGUUUAUAUUCCCAAACUCUAUAUAUUCUUUCACAAUCAGCAAUUGAAGACUUCCCUUAAUCAAUUGGAAUUGAAUCUUAUCUCACCACCGAUCUCCUCCAGUUAAAUUCAUUCAUGUCGUUAGAUUUCGGUUGCGCCAUUUUAUUGAAGCUAAGCCGUUUCUAACCACCAAUUAAGUUUGGUGCUCAAUAAAUAUCUUGCCUGUUAUCGAACUCCGCCCACAUCUGAUCGCCUUUCACCGAUGCCAGAGUACUGCAAACAGCAUAUAUCAUCCCCUUUUUGGCGGGAGGACACAUAGGUUUUCAAUACGUACGGGCCUACAGUGCGUUUCGAAAGUGUACAGCUUACUAUGUACGUAGAUGUACGGUAAGUUAUGUAAGAUUUUCUAUGUGAUGCAAGCGAAUAACAACUAGUAGUAAUAUAUGGAAAUAC
Molecule: non-coding RNA, 669 nt
Organism: Drosophila melanogaster (fruit fly)
Lineage: Eukaryota; Metazoa; Arthropoda; Insecta; Diptera; Drosophilidae
Source: Ensembl